Molecule: long non-coding RNA, 211 nt
Filed under: Elaeis guineensis (African oil palm)
Lineage: Eukaryota; Viridiplantae; Streptophyta; Magnoliopsida; Arecales; Arecaceae
Description: long non-coding RNA (EGUI_LNC001799)
Source: RNAcentral
CCUGUAGAUAAUUACCACAUUUUGCUGGGGUUACUAUAGACUUUUGAGAAAGAUCACUAGCUCCAUAAGGAAAUAGUGAAUGUAGUGGGAGGAUCCUCGAUGGGCCGUCAUCCCUUUAAGAAAGGGAAGAAGAAAAACAAAAAUAAAAAGCUACAACAUGCUGGGAGUCAAACCAAAAAGUCCAAGUCCAAGUCCGACCAAAGUUAGGCAG